This 253-nucleotide ribosomal RNA is filed under the name uncultured bacterium. Its description in RNAcentral is "partial 16S ribosomal RNA". It matches the Rfam family "Bacterial small subunit ribosomal RNA", at positions 524 to 776 of the family's 1533-position model. The record is from RNAcentral.
UACAGAGGGUGCGAGCGUUGUUCGGAAUUACUGGGCGUAAAGGGCGCGUAGGCGGCGCGGUAAGUCACUUGUGAAAUCUCUGAGCUUAACUCAGAACGGCCAAGUGAUACUGCAGUGCUAGAGUGUGGAAGGGGCAAUCGGAAUUCUUGGUGUAGCGGUGAAAUGCGUAGAUAUCAAGAGGAACACCUGAGGUGAAGACGGGUUGCUGGGCCAACACUGACGCUGAGGCGCGAAAGCCAGGGGAGCAAACGGG